GAUGAACGCUGGCGGCAUGCCUAAUACAUGCAAGUCGAACGAGAGGAAGGAAAGCUUGCUUUUCUGAAUCUAGUGGCGAACGGGUGAGUAACACGUAGGUAACCUGCCCAUGUGCCCGGGAUAACUUCUGGAAACGGAUGCUAAAACCGGAUAGGUAGCAGACAAGCAUUUGACUGCUAUUAAAGUGGCUAAGGCCAUGAACAUGGAUGGACCUGCGGUGCAUUAGCUAGUUGGUGAGGUAACGGCCCACCAAGGCGACGAUGCAUAGCCGGACUGAGAGGGCGGACGGCCACAUUGGGCCUGAGAAACGGCCCAAACUCCUACGGGAGGCAGCAGUAGGGAAUUUUCGUCAAGGGGGGGAACCCUGAACGAGCAAUGCCGCGUGAGUGAGGAAGGUCUUCGGAUCGUAAAGCUCUGUUGUAAGAGAAAAACGACAUUCAUAGGGAAUGAUGAGUGAGUGAUGGUAUCUUACCAGAAAGUCACGGCUAACUACGUGCCAGCCGCCGCGGUAA
This 512-nucleotide ribosomal RNA is filed under the name uncultured bacterium. RNAcentral describes it as "partial 16S ribosomal RNA". It matches the Rfam family "Bacterial small subunit ribosomal RNA", at positions 28 to 523 of the family's 1533-position model. The record is from RNAcentral.